RNAcentral lists this ribosomal RNA (460 nucleotides) under uncultured bacterium. Its description in RNAcentral is "partial 16S ribosomal RNA". It matches the Rfam family "Bacterial small subunit ribosomal RNA", at positions 338 to 795 of the family's 1533-position model. The record is from RNAcentral.
CCUACGGGGGGCAGCAGUGAGGAAUAUUGGUCAAUGGGCGCGAGCCUGAACCAGCCAAGUAGCGUGAAGGAUGACUGCCCUACGGGUUGUAAACUCCUUUUAUAAAGGAAUAAAGUGAGGCACGUGUGCCUUUUUGUAUGUACUUUAUGAAUAAGGAUCGGCGAACUCCGUGCCAGCAGCCGCGGUAAUACGGAGGAGCCGAGCGUUGUCCGGAUUUAUUGGGUUUAAAGGGAGCGUAGAUGGGUUGUUAAGUCAGUUGUGAAAGUUUGCGGCUCAACCGUAGAAUUGCAAGUGAUACUGGCAGACUUGAGUACAGUUGAGGUAGGCGGAAUUCGUGGUGUAGCGGUGAAAUGCGUAGAUAUCACGAGGAACUCCGAUUGCGAAGGCAGCUUUCUAAACUGCCACUGACAUUGAGGCUCGAAAGUGUGGGGAGCAAACAGGAUUAGAUACCCGAGUAGUC